This 76-nucleotide transfer RNA is filed under the name Glaciimonas sp. RNAcentral describes it as "tRNA-Lys". It matches the Rfam family "tRNA". Rfam says of the family: Transfer RNA (tRNA) molecules are approximately 80 nucleotides in length. Their secondary structure includes four short double-helical elements and three loops (D, anti-codon, and T loops). Further hydrogen bonds mediate the characteristic L-shaped molecular structure. tRNAs have two regions of fundamental functional importance: the anti-codon, which is responsible for specific mRNA codon recognition, and the 3' end, to which the tRNAs corresponding amino acid is attached (by aminoacyl-tRNA synthetases). tRNAs cope with the degeneracy of the genetic code in two manners: having more than one tRNA (with a specific anti-codon) for a particular amino acid; and 'wobble' base-pairing, i.e. permitting non-standard base-pairing at the 3rd anti-codon position. Lineage: Bacteria; Pseudomonadati; Pseudomonadota; Betaproteobacteria; Burkholderiales; Oxalobacteraceae. The record is from RNAcentral.
GGGUCGUUAGCUCAGCUGGUAGAGCAGCGGACUCUUAAUCCGUUGGUCGCAGGUUCGAUCCCCGCACGGCCUACCA